This 1254-nucleotide long non-coding RNA is filed under the name Nicotiana benthamiana. Its description in RNAcentral is "long non-coding RNA (NBEN_LNC017691)". Lineage: Eukaryota; Viridiplantae; Streptophyta; Magnoliopsida; Solanales; Solanaceae. The record is from RNAcentral.
AAAGAGAUAACAAGGAUCAAAUACGUGAAAACUCCCUUGGUUAAUAAAAUGUCCAAAUGUGAAACUCUCUUAAAUGAUAUCAUGUCCAAACGUAAAAAUUCUCAUAGAUGCUGCAAUAUCAAACGUGAAAUUCCCUGAAAUGCUAUAAGGUCCGACAUGAAAUUCUAAUUUAAAGAAAAUCCGUUACAAUAUUUUUCAAGGAUAUUAUACGGAUUUUUCUUUUACUUUGAUCCGUCGUUACGCGUUUUCGUGAAAAUGAAUUGGUUCAGGUAUGUUAAAGCUAUCCCUUCUUUCUUUUAGCAAGAUCCAUACGGUACGAACGAAAUGUUUAAAUGCACAAAUUUCAUAAAUUACUCUAUUCAUAGAAGUAUUAAAAUAUCUAUGUUCUUGAAAUUUCAUGUGUCAUAAUAUUUUAUCAUAUGUUCAUGAGUCUCAGAAAAAUACGAAAGUUGAAAAAUAUUUAUUUUAUGGUAGUACUCAAAGGCAAAAUGGUCUUAUGACAUUCCGAAUAAUUUUAUUAACGUAUUUUUCAUGCAUUGCAUUCAUGUACAUUGACUUAUGACCAGAUAGCAUUAUACACGCGCAUAUAUGUAUGUAUAUAUAUUUAUAUGGAAUAUGGAAAAUGUUAUGGAGUUAUAUACGUACCACAACUUGAUCAGGUAGUAUACAUUGAUUAUUUUGCCCACAGUGGCCGAGAUGAUAUGAUGGGAUGCCUUCAGAGGCUGAUGAAGUUAUAAAAUAUAUACCAAUGCACGACAUGACAUUCAUACGGAUACGUAUGAUACUAUAAUCAUUUCAUAAUUUAUAAAGUUAUUUAGACUUACAGGUUGAGUGAUGUUCUUCCAUGUCUGUUAUGUACUUAUGUAUGUGCUUUACAUACUCGGUACAUUUUUUGUACUGACGUCCCUUUUGCUUGGGAAUGCUGCGUUUCAUGCCCGCAGGUCCUGAUAGACAGGUCGAGAGCCCUCCAAGUAGGCUAUCAGCUCAGCCAAAGAUGUUGGUGCGCUCCAUUUGCUUUGGAGUUGCUUGUCUGAUUAGUAUCAUUUAGACGUGUAUUGUUUAGCAUGGCGGGACUUUGUCCUAACCUUUAUGUUAUUUAUGUACUCUUAGAGGCUUGUAGACAUAUGUCACAUACGUGAAAGAUUGUACGCCCUUGUCGCCCUAUGUUUUGAGUUUAUAAAGGAUCAUGUUGGCCCAUUUGGCAUGUAUGUCAUGUGUAUAUGAUGAUAUAAUAAGAAAGAUAUGCUAAUUUAG